Long non-coding RNA from Rhodamnia argentea, 5216 nucleotides. RefSeq lists it as uncharacterized. The record is from RefSeq and is a predicted model, not a curated record. Lineage: Eukaryota; Viridiplantae; Streptophyta; Magnoliopsida; Myrtales; Myrtaceae. The transcript is spliced from 5 exons.
CUCUGCACCUGCUUAAGUUUGGCGAACAGAUUCUCAGUCUUUUGCAGUGUCUCUUUAGAUUCACCAAUUUUUGAAUGAUACAGAAGUAACGAGCUAGAAAUAUCAUCGUACUCAACAUCGAAUCGAAAGCUUAUAGGUAGUCAAAAAGGUUGGGGGUGGUGGAUAUUAUCUUCAUAGUAAGUUGUUGUUGGCCUCAAUUGUUGAGAAAAAGCUUCAUAAGCGGUCUUCAUUUUCAUGCUUUUGGCAUCAGACUUCUUAUUGUUAGUAUCUCUAAAAUGGAGCAGUUUUGUAAAUGAAUAUUAUUGUUGAUUCCAUUUUCAGAGAUGUGUAUCAACAGAUGAAAUCUCAUUUUGUUUUAGCUGAACAAAUGUGUUUCUCUUUUCUAUGGGAUCGUAGGUAUGUCAUGGAUUAGUCGAUUUUUGAAUAUUACUAAUUAGUGUGCAUAUUGGAGCUUUUACACUCAAGCACACGGGUGUUCCUUCUUUUGCAGCAUUUGGAUGUUUUUCCCAACAUAUUCACAUGCAAAACGUCUCAGUUGAGUAGUUCUUGAUCUUGUCGGGUAAUCGUCCUUUCAUUUUGUCUCUACAUGAAUUAUGAACAACUACUGUACCUCCAUUUGCUCAUGAAGCCUUCUCUGCACUUCAAUUUGAACCUGAAAUGCUUCGCUUAUAUGUAAGUUUCUGCAUUCAAGAAGUUCACUUUCAGAGUUUGAAUUGCUCAGGAAAUAUUGCCCAAGCCAAUUUAUGUAGACGAGUGAAAAUAGAAAUUCUUUUGCGUUCUCACUUGUUCACUUGUAUUCCAGUACUUGAAUUGUUCAUGUGAGGUCCAUUUGCUUCUGACACUUUCACUUCUGCCACUGGUUACAAACAAUAAGAAAAUUGGUUUCUCAAUUUGUUUAUUGCUCAGUGCUCACUGAAUUAGGGAAUAAAAGGAAGCAAUUGAAGAGAACAGAAUUUGCUUUUACCAGCUCUGUUUGUCCCAUUAGUUGCUUGUCCAUGCAGAUUCUUGCUAAGUCUGUAUUUCUGCCACAAAAGUAUGAUGCUAGGAUUUAUUAUACAAGUUUAUGGUCAUGGAUGUCAAGUCAGAGACAAAAUAGCAAUUUGUGCCACCUGUUUCCAUAACCCUAUUUGUUUCUCUCCAAAUCUCGUGUUGAAUACUAUAAGCUAUGCGAGACUGUGUGAGAAGUUUACCUGAAGAUGACUCUUUAAAUGGUAUAAGCUUGCAGAAGCAGAUGCCGUUCUGAAAGGAUGGACAUUCUUGAAGAAGGAUGGAAGUUCUUUCCUCCAUAGAGACUGUGAUUGUGCAUUAUCUACAAUGAAGAUAAUGUAAUUAAUACGAAGCUUGAUCAGAAGACCUCUGUCCAAAACCAAAUCUGGCUUGAGGUCAGUUAUAUAUGAUUACCUUUUCUCCGUCCAAAUAUGCCGGACCUGAUAUCUGGAAGUCAGUGCAGUUACGUUGUUGCUGAAGAGCUCUAGGUCUCGUUCACUGCAUUAAAGAGAAUUUCUUUCAAGUACUCUUUCGUAUAUUGUCUUGUUGGCUUCUCUUGAAUGAAAGGUAUGCUUGUGCAUGGAUUUAUAGGGGCUUUCUAAUUUCCUUUUUUGAGAGGUUGUGAGGGUAUUGUGGUCAUUGAUGCAUAGAAUAUUUGUCACAGCAAAAGUAGUGGACCCGAUCCAAUAUCUAUCGUGACUGGAAAAAAAAUUGUUUCUUCUGCUUUGCCAACUACAAGCUCUAAAAUCCAUCUUCAAUUUCCUAUCUCAGAUAAUCUUACUCAUUUAUCAAGAGGCAUAAACUUACUACACCUGCAAAUAUGUUCUUUGUGCUUCCGUGCAUUGAUGUGUUUUUUUCUUUUUCGUCUGCUUGGCAAAGGUUGGAAUCUUAUUCCCAUUCAUGGAGGCAUUCUCUGACUCGGAUUAAAAGAGUCCACUGGUUUUAUUGUCUUGACAACUUCAAAGUCAUAACAAAUUUUUGUUCUGAGAGUGGAUUUUCAGGAUCCCCAAGCCUCCGUCUGAACUCAGAGUAGUAGGAAUUUUGUUUGUCCAAGUCAUUACGUCAACUAAUAGUAAAUAAUUAAUGAAAAUGAAUUGGUUCAUUUCUGCCUGGCAAUCCAUAUUAAAGGUCGUAGAUGUAGACACCAAAGAAUGUCUUUAUUAGUUACAUUUGGAGUAUGUAGGAGACGAUUUUGUUGACUGGGUCAUGAGAGGCAUUUGUAUAAGAUACACUACAAAAGGCAAAGGGGGCUCCUCCUUCUUGGAGUUUUAGAAGGCAAGGAAUAAAUUCCACUUUCUCUCCAUCAGAAGUUUAGUACUUAUUCAGUUGUUAGGGAAUAAACAAAAAGUGGCUCCCAAAUUCUUUUAGUUCUUUAGUUGGCAUAAGACAGCUGUUCUAGCCCCAGCGAAUUUAUGCAUCCUAAGCUCCAGGAACCCAGUGAGAAAACAAAAGGUGGACUGUACUCGCUUCCACACUUUUAUUAGUAAAUGAAAGGACAACAGUGCCUAGAGUGGACCCCCUACCUCGCCCUCGACUCAUCCUGCUUUAAAUUAUAAUUCGCUUGCUCCAAUUUGCAGUUUCCUUCUUUCAAAUUGUUUUCUUGUUUUCCAUAUGCAAGAUCCUUCUUGGAAGAUUCACAAACAUUAAAAGAGUUUGUUGCUGGAUGCAAUUAAAGCUAACUUUUGUGUGCAAUUAGUCACACUGAUAUGUUCAUAAGCUAAAGAGAGAGAAAUAAUGCGAGACUUGGAUUCUGCGGUUAAGUACAUUGUACAUACUAAUGCUGAUUACUGUACUCUCCAUCCAGGUACUUUCUGUGGGCAAUGACAGUUUGACACCCAUCUAUGACUGAAUAAUAUGUACGCUAAGCGUCUAGUUAAAAGCAGUUUUCAGUUUGUAAAUGGCAGUGCCGUUGCAUUGUGUCAAUCUCAGAGCUAUACUGGCUUGUUAUAGUGUGUAUUGCAAUGACAACUGUGGUUUUAUGUAAGUAUUAUGUUGGAACUAUACCCUCUGAUAUAAAGUGAUGAAUUCGCAAACGAGGGUGAUGGAUGCUAUAGCAGAAAUACAGUUCAUCGGUGUCAGUGUAACUGUAGUCACGUCUGAAAGAUUAAUUUGUUUUAUGUGCAAAUCCGGGGGAGCCGUGGUUGUAUAGUGACACUAAUUAAUUGUACCUACCUUAGUAUCUGAAAGAUAAUUCAAAAGAAUAUCAUCUAUGCUUCUAUAUGAUCAACAUAGAAUGUCGGAGAAAUUUAUAUGCCCAUGUGAUAUAGAGCGAAUAAAUUUAUAAGGUCUGGAACAGAGAAUGAAGAAUGCUAUAGCAGAAAUGUACUUCAUCAAAAUCAGUGCAAAGCACUCAAGUCCACUAUAUAUUAAUUUGCUUAAUGUGCACCAGUGCGUGACCCGUGGUUGGUUGGUCAUGUUAUGCAACCAUACCUACCUAUAUAGUAUUCAGAAAGAAUAAUAUCUAUGGUAUAUUGUAAAAUCCACAGCUAAUGCAGAAUAAAUUCGUACAUGGGUCCAGAAUGACACAAGCUGCUAGUUCACUGUCUAAUUACCCUUACGGCAGUGAUCUGUAAUUUAUCGAUCUGGUAAGACAUGGUCAAUAAACAGAACCAUUUAGUGCAUUUUGAUGAUGUCAGAACAAACAAUGUGAACUGUAGAUCGGAGUGGGGCUCCAGAGUUAUGGAUGUAUUCCUUGUAAUGAUGUACUUGUGUUUGGUCCGCAGCAGAGAUCAAUCAAUUUGGUAGGAGGAUAUGUUGUGCUAUCUCGAAGACUCGAUGAAGUGGAGGCCGUUACCAAAAUGACAGAGUAAGAAUGCUUAAGUAGUUUGUUGGCAUGUUGAUGGAAUAAAUUACUCAAACGUCAUUUGGUCUUCAAAAAAACAGAACAAAUGCUCAUGCCCUCUGUAGUCAAUUUUAGCACUCAAUUGAUUUUCUUUUGUUGCGAUUUACUAUUGGCAUCAUUUGAUGGCAUACCCCAAACUGAACAGCUUAAUUCCAAGAGUUCACAAUUGUACUUCACCAAAGUGUUUAUUUCUUGCAGAUUAAAAAGGUCUGCUGGUAACUUAUGCUUCUGCAGAGGGAUCAGGCUUCUGUAGCUUCAAACUAGGAUUGUUCUUGUUUUGAUGCUUGUGUGAUUAUGCUAAUUUUCAAGAAAAUCUAUAUGUAGUUGAUAUAGGUGCAUGAUAGUGUCGUCCUUUCUAUUCUUUUGGUAAGAAUGGCUAGUGCUUUAACUUUCUUCUGCUCGCAUAUCUGAGUGGUGACAGGUACUUGGAAAGUAUUUGCUUUUACUUGAUGUCAUAAAGCCCUUACUUUGGUCUCUUCCACCUGGAUGAACGCAUUUUCAUCUUGUGCAGAGUCAAGGAGGAGCAUUCAUCGAAUAAUUAUUACCAUCUGUAGAAUCUCUAUCCUCUAGGAUUUUGUGCUUUAUAAUGUUCUUUGUACUUAGAAUUGCUUUUGUAGAUAUUUUAUCAUUGCAAAACUUAUUCUGCAGGUACGGCCUGGUUCUAAAAAGUGAGACUUCACAUCAACUCUUAGAAUCAUUUUAGAGACAAGUUUAUCCUAAUCAAUGACAUUGCAAAAUGUUUAUCGGUGCUUAUCCGUUUUGUGACACGCCAAUGCAUCACCCUAAAAGGUAAGUAAGAAAUGGCCACAGGAAAGCUACUCCCAGUGGAGAAAAAGUUGGAGGAGGGGAAGGAAGAUAAAAGCGUACAGAUUCCGUUGAAAUCAGACGAUUCAUUCUCGAGCGAGUGUCCGUUUCAUGCAUAUAUUCUACCCCCGCAUUCAAUUUGUUUGGUAGCCGCGAUCUAAUCCAAGAAUAUCAAAAACUGUUGCACCUGUGCUGUGUGGUCCCACUGCAUCUCGCCUUUCUUAUCGGCCUCUAUAUCCACUCUUUCGGGUACCGGUUCAUCCGCAUACUUAAGCCCACACUCGGAAAGGUAGGACCAUGUCAUGAAGACGAGCAUAGAUGCUGUUCGAAUAGUUGAAUGCGUUCCAUGAAGUCGGAACGGGUCGAUUGGAUUCCGUUGUUCGGGCUGAUCCACUGAAGAGGUCCCGGGAUAAUGGAAGCCCGGUUCAUGAGUCCUACGUUUUCGUUUUCGUUUUUUUCGCUCGUUCCAAUAUCAGAAAAGGCCGAUGAUUCGGCCGAAAUGCCCAUCGAAAUAAGUUCUGAUAACACCCUUCGAAUCAUGUAGAUCGAGGGACAGAGUUUUUGCAGUAGAAUCAGCCUCCAC